GGUGAGUGUGAUUAGCCGUUACCAGCCGUUUGAAAAUGUGCAGCUUCUGACAUCACAGGUGGGCGUGUCCACCUAGAUGUGUGCAGGAUAGAUCAGUCCACUAGCCUACCCAGUGGACUGUAGCAAACGUUGCUCAUCAAUCCGUCAUACAUCUAAAUUUGUUCAGACGUUCAGACUUUUACCGUUCAAAUCUGUACUUGUUUGUACAUAAAACUCUUUCAAAUAUUCAUAUGCACCACUGGCUUCAGCGGUAGCUCCGUUGUCAUUAUUGUUUUAAGAGGCCAUGCUGGCAUGCCUGUUGCAGUUAAUCCACAGGAGCCGGUAAACAGUGCGUGAGCGUCGUUCAACGUUCACAAAAUAUAUGAGAGCGUUCAAUGAACGCCGCUCUUAUAGCGCGUUCAUGCACCCCACUGGCUGGCAACAUGAGGUCUCUGGUUCAGGUGGAGGAGUUGGGUUAGAGGAUAGACUGGACCAGGUUUUGUUUGUUAUGUAAGGCUAACUUUAUCUACUCUAUAACCGUCCAGGUGGAGCUGCUGGAGAAAGAACACCUGGUCCCUCAUCCACACCUCUCCUCUCUCUGGAGCCUCCUGCAGGUCUAGAGACAUCCAUCCCUCCAGCUCCCUCCAGUGAAACACAGCCUGCAGGUCUAGAGACAUCCAUCCCACCAGCUCCCUCCAGUGAAACACAGCCUGCAGGUCUAGAGACAUCCAUCCCUCCAGCUCCCUCCAGUGAAACACAGCCUGCAGGUCUAGAGACAUCCAUCCCUCCAGCUCCCUCCAGCGAAACACAGCCUGCAGGUCUAGAGACAUCCAUCCCUCCAGCUCCCUCCAGUGAAAAACAGCCUGCAGGUCUAGAGACAUCCAUCCCUCCAGCUCCCUCCAGUGAAACACAGCCUGCAGGUCUAGAGACAUCCAUCCCUCCAGCUCCCUCCAGUGGAACACAGCCUGCAGGUCUAGAGACAUCCAUCCCUCCAGCUCCCUCCAGUGAAACACAGCCUGCAGGUCUAGAGACAUCCAUCCCUCCAGCUCCCUCCACUGAAACACAGCCUGCUGAAGAAACUACACCACUAAUGUCCAGUGAAUCUCCUGCACCAACCGGGGACCAACAAGAACACACUUCAAGAACAAGUACCCCUGAUGUAACUAUGGAUGGUCAUGAUGAUGACCAGAGUCUGGAUGCCCUCGCCUACCGGUCUGGUACUGGACAGCUAGACAUUGAGAUGGGUCCAGUCCAAAAGCUGCCCAAAGAACGUAACAGGAUUCUUUAA
RNAcentral lists this long non-coding RNA (1267 nucleotides) under Gadus morhua (Atlantic cod). Its description in RNAcentral is "lncRNA (ENSGMOG00000030472.1)". The record is from RNAcentral. Lineage: Eukaryota; Metazoa; Chordata; Actinopteri; Gadiformes; Gadidae.